UAAGUUUUAGUUUAAGAUAAAAUAAUUCAUUUACAUUGAAUAGAUUUUAUAAAAUAAAAAAUUUAA
This 66-nucleotide transfer RNA is filed under the name Pheidole tristis. RNAcentral describes it as "tRNA-Val". Lineage: Eukaryota; Metazoa; Arthropoda; Insecta; Hymenoptera; Formicidae. The record is from RNAcentral.